GGUUAUAGCUCAGCUGGUUAAGAGCGCACGCCUGAUAAGCGUGAGGUCGAUGGUUCGAGUCCAUUUAGCCACCA
This 74-nucleotide transfer RNA is filed under the name Clostridium saccharobutylicum. Its description in RNAcentral is "tRNA-Ile". It matches the Rfam family "tRNA". From Rfam's summary of the family: Transfer RNA (tRNA) molecules are approximately 80 nucleotides in length. Their secondary structure includes four short double-helical elements and three loops (D, anti-codon, and T loops). Lineage: Bacteria; Bacillati; Bacillota; Clostridia; Eubacteriales; Clostridiaceae. The record is from RNAcentral.